RNAcentral lists this ribosomal RNA (377 nucleotides) under uncultured bacterium. RNAcentral's name for it is "bacterial SSU rRNA". It matches the Rfam family "Bacterial small subunit ribosomal RNA", at positions 521 to 896 of the family's 1533-position model. The record is from RNAcentral.
UAAGACGGAAGGUGCAAGCGUUGCUCGGAAUCACUGGGCGUAAAGGGUGCGUAGGCGGCCGUGCAAGUCUGGCGUGAAAGCCCCGGGCUCAGCCCGGGAAGUGCGCUCGAAACUGCGCGGCUCGAGUGCCGGAGGGGAGAGUGGAAUUCCUGGUGUAGCGGUGAAAUGCGUAGAUAUCAGGAGGAAUACCGGUGGCGAAAGCGACUCUCUGGACGGCAACUGACGCUGAGGCACGAAAGCGUGGGGAGCAAACAGGAUUAGAUACCCUGGUAGUCCACGCCGUAAACGAUGGGCACUAGGUGUCGGGGGUAUCCACUCCCUCGGUGCCGCCGCUAACGCAUUAAGUGUCCCGCCUGGGAAGUACGGUCGCAAGAUUA